Molecule: ribosomal RNA, 365 nt
Filed under: Ancylus fluviatilis
Lineage: Eukaryota; Metazoa; Mollusca; Gastropoda; Ancylidae
Description: partial 16S ribosomal RNA
Source: RNAcentral
UCAAUUGGCUUUUAAUUUGAGUCUGGAAUGAAAGGAUUUAUGGGGAUUUACUGUUUCAAAUGUAUAACAUUGAAUUUAUUAAAAAAGUGAAAAUACUUUUGUUUUAAAAAAAGACGAGAAGACCCUAAGAAUUUUUAGAAUAUAUUUAUACAAUUAUUUCUUUUUGUUGGGGCGACAAUUAAACAAUUAAACUUUAAUUAUUUUUUAAUCGGUUUUUUCAGUAAAAAAUAAAUUACCUUAGGGAUAACAGCAUAAUUUAAAAAAGUUUGUGACCUCGAUGUUGGACUAGGAACUUUAUAGCUAGCAGUUAAAAAAGAUUGUUCUGUUCGAACAAUAUCUCCUACGUGAUCUGAGUUCAGACCGGA